CGAUUUGGUUGCCUUGGUGCAUUAAAAUGGGAAUCGGGUGUGAGUCCCGAACAGUCCCGCUGCUGUGAGCCUCUUGCAAUCAGUCUGUCUCUUGAAAUGGGCCAUUGUGUGCCGAUAUAGGUGCAUGAGAAGGCGGGGACGGAAGGAGGCGAAGUCAGAAGACCUGCCAAAUUG
This 174-nucleotide non-coding RNA is filed under the name bovine gut metagenome. The record is from RNAcentral.